Long non-coding RNA from Alligator mississippiensis (American alligator), 1380 nucleotides. RefSeq lists it as uncharacterized. NCBI's taxonomy places the organism in Eukaryota, Metazoa, Chordata, Crocodylia, Alligatoridae. The record is from RefSeq and is a predicted model, not a curated record. The transcript has 3 exons.
GCCUAGGCCCCAGAUUGCAACCUAGAACCCUGUGUUAAAUACCCUGGCUCACUAUAUGAGAUGUGAGGAGAGUUAUGCACCUCAUAAUAUGCGUUGAACCAGCAGCUCCUCAAAAUCAGCAUGGUCAUUAGGAAGCCAACAGGAAACACUGAGGCCAGCAGUGUGUCUUAAAUGAGGCCUCUUUCUCAGGGCUGGAGGGCUGUCUUUGAAAUUUGUCUGCUUGAAAUCUGCAGCCUGAUACCCAUUCCAGAAGAUGUUACCCUGCCUGUACUUCCUACCAGUGAUGUGGAGUCUGACACUGAAGACCCUUCACCACCCUCUCUUCACACCAACUAAACAUUCAUCACCACCCUGUGCUUGUGUGUACUGUCUGCUGUUGGUAUGGCACUACCAGAAUAGGGAGUACCCUGAAAAUGGGAGCGAUGCGUGGAGACUGCUUCCAGGGAUGGAAGGACAGAUGUACACAUCCUAGAGUACCAAAGAACUUGCAAGAAGUAGCUGCCAUCAAUAUUAAGCAUUUGUGAAAGGACCUUCUACUUCCUUACAUGAAAUUACAUGUAACCAUCCCCUUGUUUAAAACUAAUUCUGCUAGUACUUGUCAUUCCUGGAAGCACAACGUUCAUCAUGAAACUGGAAUGUUGUAACUGACUGACAGGAUGUUACAAAAUGUGGAGUAUUUAGAAUGAUUUACUGGUCCCCAAAGUUUAAAUGAUUUUGAGGGAACAACAUAAGGGAGUCUUUUUGGGUUAGUUGAACUAUGUAUGCCUCUUUCCUUCUCUCUCUCCUCUCAGGUUCCAGACUCUGUCCUCUUGAUUAUAGCAGGAUUCAGUCUCUUAUCUGCUUUUUCUGAAACAAUACUAAUACUAGAAGAAUGCUAAUAUUUUGUCUUAACAACAUCUCUCCUGGUGACCAGUUUUGGCCAUGUGGGGAAAAAAGAAAGAACUCGUCUCUCCUGCUUAUUUAAAAGCUCUUUCUGUAUUCAUUUCUUUUGGCAUUCUCAAAAUUAUCUUUGAAAUACUGUCACAUCCUCUUAUCAGAUAUGUAUGGAUGGCUGCCAUUAUCUUUUUAGUGGGAUUUAGCCUUAUAAAUUUAAGAGCAGAUUUUGGCCCUAGUAUAGCUUUUCUCUAUCUUCAUUGUACCACCCUAAACAAAGAUUAAUCCCAAGAUAGUUAUGUAUUUAAAACCCUGAUCAUUAUGCACCAUAUUGUCUCAUUUUUCUUGGCUUUCUAAAUGAAAUUUUCAUGUAUUGGGAGUUCUAAUUUAACUCCUAGAAUAAAAACAGGCCCCUCUGCUCAGUAAUUCUAGGAAGCAAUGCUUUUCAAUGAUUUGCACUCACAGCAAAAUUAAGUUAAGAGUCUGUAACUGGCAUAAAUGCUUACU